Petromyzon marinus (sea lamprey) is the source of this 133-nucleotide small nucleolar RNA. Ensembl annotates it as small Cajal body-specific RNA 8. The record is from Ensembl. NCBI's taxonomy places the organism in Eukaryota, Metazoa, Chordata, Hyperoartia, Petromyzontiformes, Petromyzontidae.
AGGGAGGCAUGAUACAUGUCCAGUCGGCCAGUCAGUGCCUGGAUGUCACUUUGCCUCCCUAUAUAAAACCUGCCUUCUGAUGAGCGAACCAAAUGGAGAGAAAUUGGCACGUACAGAUACGGGGCAGACAGAA